Molecule: transfer RNA, 87 nt
Filed under: Desulfofustis glycolicus DSM 9705
Lineage: Bacteria; Pseudomonadati; Thermodesulfobacteriota; Desulfobulbia; Desulfobulbales; Desulfocapsaceae
Also listed under: 8 other names
Description: tRNA_Leu_CAG
Rfam family: tRNA
About the family: Transfer RNA (tRNA) molecules are approximately 80 nucleotides in length.
Source: RNAcentral
GCCGAAGUGGCGGAAUUGGUAGACGCGCUAGGUUCAGGGUCUAGUGGGGGUUUCCCCGUGGAAGUUCGAGUCUUCUCUUCGGCACCA